GUCUCCUACUUCCUUCUCUUUGUAGGCUCAGAGAGGGGAACUGUCCUGUAGUGAGUGCUGGCCAGACCUGACCUACUCUAGCAUGUGCUUGCUUAAAAAGAAGACAUUGCUUCCAUGAUGGUUGCCUGGGCCAGGUAUCCAAGAUUCAUCAAUAAAGGGAGACACACAUUCAGACAAACAGUCUAUCAGCAGGGAUCUAUCUGAAGUGGAACAGCCAGGACACAAACCAGCACCCAUGUGUUAUGCCAGUGUUGCAGGUAACAAUGUUAUGUGUUAUGUCACGAUGCCAGCCCACAAUGGUUUUCUUUCAGAAGGCAACAAACAUGUGGAUGAAGCUUUACAUGUCUGUGUCCUACUUACUGAUCCUCUUCAGUCCUGAAUUUUUCAUUAAUCAGCUAAAUCUCUCCAUAAACAGUUUAAAAUUCCUCUUCCUGAUAUUCCUGAAACAAUCUGUAAUUGUUCCCAAUGUGAUCAAACUCCUCAUCCUCAUUAUUUUCCUUUUGCUGCUGUCAACCCUCAAGGCCAUCAUUGUGGGCAGCCACAGGCAGUCGCCCCUUUUGUUUACACUUAAACAUAUGAAUGGAGACACAGACAAUUAGGCUAAGGAGAUUCCAGGAAGAGACAGGAAGAACCUUAUCUCACUGCUAAACUUCUCACAAGAGAUGAUGUAGAUAAUCAGUCACACCUCUGUUAAGAGGAAGAACCUUAUCCGAACUCUUUAGUCUUUUUGAUAUGUAAAUCUUUUGUGCUCCUUCUUGUAUACAACUGGUCAUGUUUAAAUACUACUGGGUUUGUUGAAUAAAGGAGCCUUGAUCAGGACUUGUCUUGGCUCCAUUCUUUGCAUCCUUGUCCCCUCAUUCCCACUUUCUGUUUCAGGAAACCCGGUUCUUUGUGCUGCAGGCCAGCACACAUCAUGCCAAUGAACUUUGACA
This is a non-coding RNA of Oryctolagus cuniculus (rabbit), 932 nucleotides long. The record is from RefSeq and is a predicted model, not a curated record. Lineage: Eukaryota; Metazoa; Chordata; Mammalia; Lagomorpha; Leporidae.